Molecule: long non-coding RNA, 15378 nt
Filed under: Equus caballus (horse)
Lineage: Eukaryota; Metazoa; Chordata; Mammalia; Perissodactyla; Equidae
Description: lncRNA (ENSECAG00000044305.1)
Source: RNAcentral
AGAACCUCUGCAUUGGGCAAGAAAGCAUGCAGGUUGACACUUAUGAAGCACUCAUGUGCCAGGCAUGUGGCCGGUUGCCUCCAUUUCCAUUGUUUUAUAUGAUUGUGGUAGGCAGAAAAAUGCCCCUGCAAAGAUGUCCACAUCUUCAUCCCUGGAACAUGUGACUACGUUACCUUAUGAGGUAAAGGGACUUUGAAUGAUAUGAUUAAGUUAAGGAUCUUGAGAUAGGGAGAUUAUCUUGGAUUAUCCAGGUGGGCUCAAUGUAACCAUAAGGGUGGUUAUAAGAGGGAGGCAGGAGACCCAGCGUCAGAGAAGGAGAUGUGACAAUGGAAGCAGAGGCAGAAAAGGAGAUGUGGAAAUGUUACAUGGCUGGCUUUGAAGAUGGAGGAAGGGGCCACGAGCCAAGGAAUGCAGGCAGCCUAUAGAAGUUGAAAGAGACAAGAAAACAAAUUCUUCUCUACGGUCUCCAGAAGGAACACGGUCCUGCUGACACCUUGAUUUUAGCCCAGUGAGACCAUUUUGGACUUCUGACCUCCAGAACUGUAAGAUAAUAAAUAGGUGUGGUUUUAAGCCACUAUGUUUGUGGUAAUUUGUUAUAGCCACAACAGGAGACUAAUACAAUGACCUUCCUAACACCCCUACUAGCUAAGUAGCGCAUCGCUUUUGGUGUGAGGAAACUUAAGCUCAGAGAGGUUAAGCACCCUCAAGGUCACAUAGCUAACCUAGGAUUCAAAUCCAGUUCUGUGCCUGCAAGCCCACUAGAGCCUUGCCACUCAAAGCAGGGUCUGUGGACCGUGGCAGCAGUAUUACCAGCAACUUUUCAGAGAAGCAGCAUCUAAAGCCCCAUCCUAAAACUACUGAAUCAGAAUCUGCACUUAACUCAUGGGCACGACAAAGUUUGAGAAGCCUGGACCACACCCGCUUUAUCCUACGAUGCUCCCUGUUUUGGACAUUUCCCCCGUUUUGAAAAAUAAACACUUGUUCAAAGUGACUGAAGCACUGCCAGAGGGUCAGGACCCUUGUUGGAAAGAAUCCUCUUCUGGGGGAUUGGUUAAUUUGUUUUGAUCUAUGCAAAUAUCCAACUUUAAGCUGCAAAGGCUGAUGCCCAGAGCAGCCUCGUUCCCAGCAGCCAGGCCUCUAAGCUGUGCAUCAGCAAGCUCGUUCGAAGACCCACUGCACUCAGGCCAACUGCUGGGCCUUCUCCAGCAGCUAAGCCAACGGCGUAGAGGCUGUCUGAAUGAUGUGGAGUAUAGACCAGCACACACAUCACCUGGGAAGCUUAAUAAAAUGCGGAUUCUGCUUCAGAAGUCCUGGUAUUUUGCAUUUCUAAUACGCUCCCACCAGGUGAUGCUAUUGAUUGGUGGGGGUCCUCGAGCAGCAAGCUGUGGGCACUCACUCCUGAGACCACCAUCUCAUCAAGGUUUCUUCUCCAUUUAAACCUCCAAGCAAAGGCUUUCAAAAUCCCGUGGCUCAUCAGCCUCACCUAGGUGCUUUUCGACAAAGGGUGGACGUCCACGCGUUUGGAAACGACUGCUUGAAACCACAGAAGCAAAUACCUCCUCAACAAAUCUGCUCCACCUCAAGUCUGAUUUUGCAUGAACUCAGUGCCACUGCUGGAAACAUAAAAUGCCUUCCUCCUCGUCUUGCUAAGACUUCAGACACUGAGGAGGCAGGACCCUGAGAGGGUGGCUGAGCUGCCGAGGGACACACGCCAAGACAGCAGAGAGCCCUGAGAAACUUAGCAGAGGGCCACAGAGCUCCCCACUACAAGGUCACGGACAGGCCAACUCUGUCUCCUCCUUGCUCUCUGAUCCUGUGCCCUUAUCUUGUGACAGAUACUAUUAGUGUGACUUCCACCGCCCCUUGGAGGGGAGGGCAAAGUGCAGCAGCCUGCAGGGACAAUUUACUCCCCACAUAUGGUUGUAAAACACUGUAAAUGAAACUUCAAAGCCUUUGGGCAGCCACUGCCCGUGGAUCUGCCUUUCUCCAGAGCCGUCCUCAGCAGCCUGUGCAGUUCUGCUCAGAGGUGACCUCAGCGCCCGUCUCUACCCCCGCCCCUCCAAUCAGCACUCCCAUUAAGAAAGCGGCUUUUAUGACAUCACCGGUGAUUAAACCGACCUAAUUUCUCCCAGGCUGGCAGAGUCAAGAGCCUCAUUCAGUACAGAAACCUGCUCUAUGGGCCUCAGCUAAGCCACUUGAGAAAAAAAAAAAAGACCUGUAAUUUGUUCUGGGAGGAAAAGAAAAACGGUGUGCAGCUGCAGCUUGCCGCACGUGUGACGUGGAGCAGGAGAGACCCAGGCGUUCCACAGCCAGCCCCUCUCUCUGCUGGGGCCUGGGGUUCCGGAAAUGCUUGGUCCUUCGUGCGAUGGACGCCUGCUGAGCAGAGAGGUGGUUUCUGAGCUCCUGAGAGCUGACGUGGUAUCGUAGUCACCUUAGCAUCUCUAAUCUUUAGUGCCAGACUGGGUAUACGCAGGAUGAUCGUUUUGAAGGACAAAUCUGAUAGAACAGGGGAAUUCUUCAUGAUAGCAUGCUGAUUCAUUCUGCAAAGUAGAGCCUGAGCACCUCCUGUGUGCCUGGGGCUGAGGACGGAGUGGUGAACAAGACAGUGAAAACCCCCUCCUCAUGAAGCUUACCUUCCAAUGGCUGUCUUCGCAUUUGUGUUAAAAGGAGAGUGACGUGUUCCCAACUGAGAAACACAUGUAACAGAGCAUAAAUGAACUGCCCAAGGUCACCUUUCUAGUUGGUGUCCCAAGAAAUCAAUUUAGCCCAGAGAUCUCAUCACCACCAGGCCCUGUUGAAAACCAAGCGUUACGGCAUUAACUCAUUAUGGGCUUGAUGCGUGAAAAUCACCAUGCUGUUGUGUCUACUGAUACAGGCAUUACCUUCCAAAGCAUAUAUAAGGUCUUCAACUCAAGAGAAACUGUUACUCAAGCAAUUGGACUUGAAGAGCCUCAUCUGCACAUGGAUCUGGUUUAGAUGGUGAGAGUCUGGACUCUGAGCUCAUGCUGUGAUGAGAUGAGAGUUUGGGAGACCUUGAAAGCGGGCACAGUGACAAUGGGAAAGAUGUGAAAGCUCCUUUGGUAGAAGAAUCCUACUUGGAGGUUGCACUAAGAUGGCCCCUCUGUCUGUCAGACGUUCUGACACUUCCUGGGAAUCAUCACUAACCGUCCUCUGAGCAACAGUAACAGACAAUUACAUGUUGAAAACAUUUGUCCUAACGUAUCGUGUGGGUUUUACUUGGGCAUCUACACAGGUUUCGCCAUGAGAAACAGCUAGCUGCCCCAGCCAGUGAUUGGCAUAGAAUCCCAGGCUUGACUUGCAGCAGCCACGUCUGGUUCUGGUUUAGUGAGGGACCCAGCUUUAUGGGGCAAACCUAUCCGGUUGAAGCUUCUAUUGCUUUAACUCUUUUGGAUUCUCGUCACAUUUGGGCUGCUUGCAAAUCAAUGCCUGUGACCCCUUGGUUCCCAGGCAAGAGGGGGAUGGUUUAGCAAAGUCCACCACUCUUCCAGAAAACCAAUUCAAAAUGCACUAUACAUGUUCUCUUUUUUGUAGGACUACAAAUAAACAAGAAUACACAUUUGUAUUUUCACAAACAUAGGUAGGAUGAAAAAAAAAUUAUCAACAAAGGCGAGAAGGAAGUGGAGAAAUGGGAUAUGGCAGGAAGACUUCUUAGGUGUACCGUGCUUUAGAAUUCUGACUUUUGAAACACGUAAAUGAAUUACCCUUUAAAAUAAAUUUUUAAUAUAAAAAACAUACUAUCUGUUGAAUGAGGCCUCAGAGUCUCAUUUUUGCUUAGGAAACACACCCUGUGUAAUUUGUAAAAAGUUAUCUUAUUUUAAAUGCAUAUGUUACCCUAUGUUUAAAAAUGGUAGUAGUUUAUUUGUUUGGCAGAAAUGAGAGCCUGUAGAACGUGUUGGCUGUAAGGCCUCAGUGGGCAUUAAAUGCUGGAGUAGGAUUUGGAAGACCAUGACCUCUUAGUUUGGGCUUCAUAGGGAACCAGCUGAGUGGCUUGGAUGAAUCACUUUACCUCUCUGCUCCUCAUCUCUUCACCUGUAACACCAGCUUAAUUCUACCUCUUCACUGUGCUCCCAGGGUCCUCAUGAGGCUCAAAUGUGCAAACACUUUGAAAGCACCAUUGCCAUCAUUCCUAACAGUCCAGUUUUCAACUGAACAUGUACAGUUGGAGGCCAUUGUCCAGGUGGAGGCCAUUGCAAAAUAUACAAAAGCUAACUUGAGACAGGGUACCAUCUUGAGACUAUUUCCAUUUGUCUCCAUAGCACUGUCCACAGACUGGAGCCACUCAAAGGCUGGGCAUGGGUCUCCUCACUUUCCUACUCUCACUUGCACAAAGCAUUUUGCUAAGGGUUAGAGGAGUCGUCUAACAAAAAAGGUGAAAGCAAGGGAGGUAGAAAUUAAGUCUCUUCUUCUGGAUGCCAGAAAAAGAACUCUGGUUCUGCAAACAAGUAAGUUUUAGGAAUGCUUGGUGAUGACUUCAAAUUCUUAGGCUUCUAAUCCUCUCCCUUCCUUACUUUAAAAUACACACAAAAUUAAGGAGGAGUUAAGAAAGGUGGCAGGAUUUUUGAAAGAGGUUUCAAGAGUGAGACAGGAAAAACAAGAAAAUAAACCACACAACGUGUCCUGACAUGUUGAUAUGUUUCCCUUUAGUUUUUUUCUCCCCCUAGAAAAAUAUCUAGGAUUUUGUCUCCUCUUAACAAAAAUUUGGAUGGAAAGUUGGACAUAAUCCCCAGACCUGUAAAAGUUCUUUGUGCGGCCGGCACUGGAGUGCUUUUCUUACAUUCUCUCAAGAAGCCAACCUACCAUGUGGCGAGUUUGUGAAGCCAGGAAGGGAGGCGGUAAUCUGAGAGGAGCUGCAGGGCGGCUCCCCAGGGCACAGCAAGGCGGGGCCCCAGCUCCACCCGGCCGGCCUGGCCUGGGCCCCUCCUGUUGCCACAGGGGAAAAGGAGGAGAGACUUACAUUUAUAAAAGCAGGAACCUACCCGCUGUAGAGGUCCUAAAAUGCCGAGGGAGAAUUCCCAUUUGGGAGGUCAAAUCUAGGUCAGAGGAAUUACCUAGUCAUUUCUGAAAACCCUCUAAUUCAGGGGGUCAAGCCAGGCUGGCAACACCCCAAAUCAUUAACUAAAUCUAACUUGAUCUUUAAAAACUUAACCUAAGACUGUUUUGGUUCUUUGGCCUGAGGUAAUUUUUCUGAUGGCAUUUCUGUUACUUCCUGUUUGCGCCUGAGCUUUCCUUGCCCAGCUUCCUUUUCGGGGUUCAGGUUGCCUCGACUACCAUUUCCACUGAGAUGUAUGGAAAAGGGGCGUGUGUGUGUGUGUGUGUGUGUGUAUGCCUGUGUGUGUGUGUUGGGUUGGAAGGCAAAGAAAUAAUAGCAACUCACAUUAAAUUUGCAUGUUACAAAACACUCUUCUCAGACAUUCAUCCUUUCGUUUUCUUUCCACAACAACACUAGGAGAUAAGCAAUACCAAUAUGCCAACAUUACAGAUGAAGAAACUGAGGCUUAAAAAGGUUGACAUGUCCAAGGUCACACAUCAGAUAAAGGAGCAAGCCUGGAUCUGAGUCCCCAGAAUCUAAAAUUCUUUUCAUUUAUUUAACUCGUAGAGGAACUCUAAAUUUAAUUUAUUUGGCAGAACUCUAUUUUAGGGAGGAUUUAUUUAUUCAGUCUUUAUUACAGAGCUUAUUCCUGAAGUGUAAAGAAAGAUUCAGCUUAGGCCCUUCACUGGAGCAAUGGAAGAAUUCUUAAGGACCCACUAUUUCGGUUUUUGGCAACUCUUCUGCAGCCUUUCAACACGGCCAUCCCUGCGCCAGGCUGGGGCGGUCCCCGUUGCCGGACCCAGGGGUGCAUUGUCUGUGUCAGGCAGUAGGGGGAGCGUGUGUGCAAGACCAGGAAAGCUGCUCAGACUCAGGCAGGAAAUGUCUGCGACCACGUGUCCUUAGCAGGCCGUGUUGGAAAAGUAUUUUUUUGCUGCUUAGGUGCUUAGAUCUCCGGGCUUCUCUGCAAAGAUGUGUACUUACUGACUUGUAGGGUGGAAAAACCAGCCUAAGGGAGUUGUAGAAAGCGGUUGCUGAUGCCCACUGCUUUAAAGGGAGCAAAAGCGUCCACAUGGCCUCUGAGGAAGGACCCCAGGCUCUGGGCCCCUGCAGGUCAGAGAAGGCCCUUGAAGCUUUGCCUCUGUGUCGGCAGAAAAGACACAGAGGCCCAGACAGUGGGCCUUCCUGGCUCCAAGGAUGGCGCCACCUGCACCCAAAACCUGCCUGAGAGGGCAGGAAUUUGCACGGUCAGCAGCAUGAGAAUUAGAAUGUACACUGCAGGAGGGGAGAGCUGUCCAUCUGGUUUUUCCCUGUAUCUGAGCCUUUCAGAACGGUGCAGGGAGCUGGCUGGGCUCUCAAGUGCCUUUACGGGGCACUUGCUUGACAGAGCCUGUUAACUCAUGCUGCGUUUUGACAAGGACCUUGAAGUCAGAUGGAAAAGAAACAAACACUUCUGACAUUCCAUGAUCUUAAGCCCAGAGUAAAACUGGGGAGAAGCUUCUGAGGUGUGCACUAGUUCUGGAAUAACUCUGAGUGCUGACAGGUCACUUUUACUCUGGGAUGUAGAGUUCUCUCAUUUUCCUUUCUGGACCAAGAUUGUAGUUUCUUAACCUGGGAAAGAAAGUUGCAGCAGGGGGUAUACCCUGAGGGCUGGCUGGCAACAAUUUCCCUCCCAGUGAAAGAGAGAAGCAGCAAAAGUUGAUGUUUGCCUACACUUUGGAUUUGUAUAUAGAAGAUAAUUGAUCUUCUCUUUUUAAUGGUGGUUAUUUACAGAAAACACUGACUUGGUCUUGGUUCCAAACACACAGGAAAUUUGUACUCGAAUGUACCUGCUCCUGUAAUUUCUUUUUCCUUUUGGUUUAAAAUGUUGACUUUCUGUUUUUCUAGACCAGUAGAAAAGAUAUUAAAGUUUUCUGCAAAAUGACAGUGUAGUGGUACCUUCAUGCUGUUUUAAGGGUAAAAACUCUCAUCAUCGUGAAUAGGUUAAAAAGACAUAAUCAGGGUAACCAAGAUGGGAAUGGACAAAAUGGUGACCACUAGGAGUACAUGGCAACCAUGUUCUUUGGAUCCCCAUUCUUCUCAAGGUUUCCCCUAAUACAGUGAUACCUGUGUAUCACUUACAUUUAUUAUCACAGGGAUACCUAUGCAUCCCCAAUAUAAUGGUAUAUGGUGCAUAACUAUAUGUUGAGUUGUUAUAUGAUAAGGAAUUUAAAUAAUCUGUAAUGCUUCUUAUUUCUCAUGGCCCAAGACUCCAUCAGAAAAUUUACUUUACAUAUGCAAACACUCUAGCUCAAGUAAUUAAUUUAUUCGAUCACCCGUCAUUGAGUGCUCUUCACGUGCUAGGCAGAGGAAGCAAAGGUGAAGCCCUGUCCAUGAAUAACUCACAGUCUGGUAAGAGAGACCUCCCAUUCUAUUGCAGGCAUGUUUAAAUAUGUAAGAGAGCCUGGAGGGGGGAAUUCCACAUGGAUGAGGUGGUACUUGUCAGGAGCCCAGGCACUGGAGUCAGGCUGCUAGAAUUGAAUCCUGGCUCUACCAUUUCCUAGCUGUGUGACUGGGGCAAGUUUCUGAACUGAUCUGAGUCCCAGUUUCAACAUUUAUAUUAUAUGGGAAGAAUAAUGGUACCCAUGUCAUGGGUUUUUAUUUGUGAAGAUCCAGUGGAAUGCAUCAUAAUAAAUACUCAGUGUGUAUUGGUUGGUGAUGAUAACGAUGAUGGUGAUGGUGGAGGUGAAGUGAAGAUGAGGCAGAGGAGAUGGAGAAGGCUUCAUGGAGACCUGUAGUGUCAGGAAUUCAGUGGUUAAGGGAGGGAAAUGUGGAAGAGUGAAGAACAUUCCAGAUAGGGCUCAGGAAUGUGUUUUAACAAGCCUUCCAGGCGAUUCUAGUGCUCACUGAAGUUUAAGUGGUCAGCUGUGGAUGUUAAGUAAGGGAAUGAGAUGCUUAGAUCUUCAUUUUUAGAGAGAACACAUUGGUGGCUGUGUAAAGGAUGGAUUGGAGGUAGGGAGACAGGACGCAGGACAACAGGUUAGGAGCCUGGAGCCUAAGUGAAAGAUGACAGGGGCUCGAGUUCUGGUCAUGGUGGUGGGCACAUGUAGAAAGGGAAAAAUGCAUCAUGUGUGAUAGUGGUGAAACAAAGGUCAUGGUAAAGGGGAGACCUAGAACACAUUAAAGUGUAGGGUCGACCAGAUUUGUUAAUUGGAUUUAGGGGUGAGGAAGAGCAGGAGGCAAGGGUGAGUCCAGGGAUGGUGAACACAGGGCUUUUAAUACCAAUGACUAAAUGGUGCCUCUGUGGUCUUGCUGAGACCGUUCAUUUGCCCCUCCCUCUCCCUCCUUCAUCACUGCCAAGGUGACUGACAGCAUGGAUAGGCAUCCAUGCAGGAGGUCUGGCUCCCCUCUGGAAUGCACCGCUCUCUCCAACCACAGCCAUCACCUCCCCCAUCACGCCCCCCACGGCUGAGGGAGUCAUUCCACCAGCCGUGGUUACUGCCACAUAGGCUGAUGAGUCACUCUCCCAGAACAGCUGGUGGCCAAUGUUCUUCUCUUCCACAGUUUGGCAGCACUUCCAGGACCUGCCCCUACCCUCCAAAAAAGCAUUUUGACCCACCCUUUAGUGCAAGCUCUCUUAGCAGAGCUCGCCACCCACUUCUCCAGGAUCAGAGGAUCUCUCCUCCAAAAUUAGACUCAAAUUAUUGCUCUGUCUACAUUUUAACUCAGAUUAUUAACUCGUUAUUACUUUGUUACUGCCACGUCUGAAGUAGAAAGAUUGUCAGAGGCAGGCAGUAGUGAUUCCUGUAAGAAUGACACUUCUUUCCCUGAAAGCUGUCUUCUUCAAAGUAUAGUCUGUGUAACACCUUCUGUAUCAAAAUUAUUUGAAGUUUUGGUCAAAAUGCAGAUUCCUGAGUUCUCCCAUAGACCUCCUGAAUACUGGGGUUGGAGCCUAAGGUUAGAAAUCAGGGAAUUUAUGUUUUUAAAAAGCAUCCCCAAGUAAGUCUUAAAUUACCUACUGAAAAGUGACAGUGGUGGCACUAGAAUUCCUUUUGUAAUGCUUCUGACCCACUGUGCAGCUAGGAUGAACUCACAGUCCUGUGGGCCUUGCCAGCUUGCUUGGAGGAAGGCCGUGCAGCCUCUCCUGGGAGAGGACACCAUUCUAGAGCCUCCCAGAUCAGCACUAUUGCUGUUCUGGUCAUUUCCUCGAGGCAGUAUGGGCAGCGUGCAAAUUAAGCACAGGCACGUAAAACGAGUCUAACCUAUCUGUUUAAAAAGACAAAUUAAACGCGUUCUCAUAUUCAAAGUAAUAGUGUUGGGUUACAUGACAAUAUUCCUUUUUCCAUCGACAAGUUAAACGUGCUCCCAAAUUCCAAGUAGUAGUAUCAACUUACCACCCACAGAACAUUUUUUGAUUGUUUUUCUUGGUUGGAAUAAUGGAUUUCUCCUAAGUGAAAUCCUCUCUCACCUUUUCCUUUUAUGCCCAAAGACUGACCAAGGUUGGCAAAGCAAUCUUGCUGGUGGAGCUAAGUGGGAUGCUGUGCAAAGUUCACUGAGCCCCUGGUGACAUUCCAGGAGGGCACCAACCCCAGUGUGCUUUGUACUUUGAGGAACACAGAAAAGCAAUAGGUCCAUGGACACAUAGAUCCAAACAGGAUUCUGAAAAAUAAAUUAGAGGGUUCUGGUUAAUUGGAUUUGUUUUCCUUGUUCAGCAAGUAUUCACUGAGGCCAGAACACAGCAUUCAGUUAAGGGCUGAGGGGAUAAAAGGUGGAAAAGCCAUGAUCCACGCAUUGCAGAGCGUACGGUAUGGCUGGCAAGAUGAGACAUGCGCUUCAAAUUAAAUACCAAUACACGGCAGUAAAUGUUAAUAAGUGGUCGGACAUCAAAUGCUGGCACCACUCAGAAGAUAGAGAGAGAGCUCUCCCAGGGCUGGAAUUCAAGCAGGGCCUAAAGCUGCUCUGAAAACCUGUGGGAGAUGGGGAGGGUCAGAGAAGAAGCCUAGGUGGAGACCUAGGGAGCAAAAGGCACAGCACUGGGAAGAGAGAGUUGGUGUUGGGGACAGUCAGUGGAUGGGUCUGGAGGAAGCCUGGGUCUAGGGUUGGAAACGGUGAAAGAUAAAGUUCAAGCUUCAUUUCUAAACAUUUACCAAAUACUCAUAGUCUGUCAGGCACUGUGUUCAGAACUUGAAUGACAUUUUCUUGUUUAAAUCAUACAACAAUAUUGAGGGGUCAGUAUUAUCCCAUGUUCCAUUUUAACAUGAGGAGAUUGGGGCUCAGAAAGGAUCAUAACUAGCCCAAAGUCACACAGCUAGUAGAUGAAGAAGCCAAGAGGCAAACCCAGGUUGACUUACCUCCAAAGUCUGUGCGUUUUGGGAGGCUCUUUUUGGCCUUUAUCCACUUCUCCAAAUCAUAUUGCUGCUUGCAAGAGAGGCCCAGCAGGGAGAAUAAAGUGAGGUCAGGAGGCUGAGUGCUCCAUCCUGUUCAUGUGGCCUGUAGCCUCUGCCUGGCAAAGGCAGUGUUUCUUGUCCCUAGGCUUCUUUCUUCUUACUCUUCUACCAUCUUAAGUGUGCUGCCUCCUGGACCAAAAGGGCUGCUUGAGCUCUAGCCAUCCCUUCCACGUUCUAACCAGCAAGAAAAAGAAAAGGGCAAGAAGGCAAUUCUUUUUCAAUUUAAGGACCUUCCCUAGAAGUUGACCAUGAUGUUUCCUUGUGUAACUCCUCGGCCACGAUUUAGUCAAAUGAAACAACUAGCUGCGGGGAUACUCAAAUGCGUAGUCUUUAUUUCAGGCUGCCAUGUGUCCAGGUAAAAAUCCAUUACUAGAAAAGAAAGGGAAUAGAUAUUUAGGUGGACUUGCAGCAUUCUUUGCCACAAGCCUACUAACUUAUUUGAUCCUUAUUAUCAUAUUAUCCUGUGAGUUGAGCAUGAUUAAUAUCCUCAUUUUAUAUUAAAGAAAUUGAGGCUCAGAGACAUUAACUUGUCUAAGGUCACACAGCUAUUAAGAAAGGAGUUGGGACAGAAGGGUGCUCAGCUGAUGCCCAGCCUGUAUGACCCCAUGACGCAGCAUGGAGAAACUAGAUUGUACAUUCAUCUUGUCUAACUACAAAUGUUUUUUUCUCUUUAUUUUUCCUCGCUUGGAUGUAGGCAUACCCUACAUACCUUAAUUCAGCUGAGAAAGAGUUAACAUUUUUCAAAAUAAGUGUGGCUAGGAAACCAAGGAGAGAAAGAAACCACAAGGUAACGAAAUGGCUGGGCGGGGAAGCACAGAUGGAGUGUCCUGACAUAACUGACGCCCAGCCAAGGACUGACCCGGCGGGGACAGCCCAGAGGACGUGCAGGCUCCAUUUGGAGGGCGCACAGGCCUCUGUGCCUUACCUGGCCUCCAACCAGUUGUCCUUGAACCUGCCUGAGGCAUAUUCAUCAGCUACAUGUUCCCUGGAGCUUGAUGAGUUAUUUGGCUUUGAUCUAGGCUGGCGUCUGGGCCUCCCCUCACUGUCACUCCGUGCUCUUGCUGAAUGCUGCUGCCUCUACCUGCUUAUAAACCUGGGGUCCUAGUGAACCACCACCAGCUCUGUGUGCAGGCCAAGGAGAAACCUCUGGCUUGCACCUAAUUAGCAUAGCAAAGGUGACUGACACACCUCAGCCUAAUGCCUGUUCAAGACACAGGCCAGCUUUCUCCCCUCUCAGGUUACCUCCUCCUUCGCCAGGUGCUUCUGCAGAUGGUUGGGGCAUGCCAUCUCCAACCUGGGGAAUGAUUAACCAGAGAAAAGAGCCUCUUAGUCCAUGUGGGUGUGAUGAUUUCUGUAAAGGGCUGCCUCUCGCACAGCCGGAUAGCACUUUUGUUUGUGAAUGAUUUUCCCUUUGUCUCUCACUCUCUCUGUCUUCCUUCCCUUCUCCCUCCCGUCUGCCCACUCUUUGCCCUCUCCUUUCCCUCCCUCCCUCCCUCUCUCUCUCUCUUUCUUCCUCUGUUUCGUACAGUGUUUGUGUGUGUCUAGAGGAAGCAGACAACACCUGCACACAGUCUAGAAUGGGGUUCUGUGUUCAUUGUGAUGCCCAGCAGGAGCUCUUCACCUGGUCUGGGAGAAGAGAGCGUGUUCCGAAAAUGCUCCCUGGAGGACAUGGCACCAGGGCCCCAAAACAAGUAGGUAUGGAGACAAGAAAAGUCUUCUGAAAACAGAAUGAUUCGUUCUCUGGCUCCACCUGCAAACUGCCAGGCUCUUUUCCUGUGUCUAGGAGUCACCACCCUUCCACAAAGAAAUAAACAGCCUCUUCAAGGCAGGAAAGCCAUCUCAAGCAGAUAGAGGCCUCCGGUUCUCUCCAACCUGCCUCCUGGUUAGCUGUAAGAUUCAUGGUUUGCUUGAGAAAUGAAGGACAUGGGAUUUUGUGCAGCUGUUUGUCUCUCUGUAGAAGUUUUAGGCUUUUCUGGGGAGGAAAUAUUCUGGAAUGAACCCAGCUCUUCCACAUCCUUGUUCAGGCCUUUUGGACUGAGAAAGUCUUGGCCUGGACAGUACACCUUCCACACACAGACUCAAAUAACUUUAUGAGGCCCAGCCCCAUAUAACCCUAAAUGUGAAACAAUAAAGUACUGCUGACUUCCUCCUCCUCCUGUGUACACAGCCGUUACCCAGAUUGGGUGUCUAUCUGUCUGCUGUGAUGAAAGAAUAGAUGCUUUGUUCUGCCCUCCCUGCUGGAAUGACUUUUAUCCACAUUCACUUGUGAAGGCCCAGGACACGAGGGACCUUGUUCAUUUCCAGGGUUUACACUAGAAUCCUGAAUUCAACACUCAGAAGAGAUGUCACUGAUUAUAUGAGUAGUUGGAAUCUUUUCUCAUUAUGAAGUGUGUCAGGAAACAAAAAACAAAACUAGUGUCUGCCGUAUAGCCGGAAAGAGCCACCAAUGUGUCACUCCCCUGCCAAAUUGGGCUUCUUUCUGGAAGAUAGGGUACGUUCCCACAUCCUACCACGCAGUCUCUAAGAAGUUUUGCGAGGCUGGGAGAAGAGCGAAUGACAAGGCUUUCCUUAUCCAAUCAUCCAGGUAAACUCAUUGCUCCUCAUUUUAAAAUAACAGCUUAAAAAGAUGUUUUAAACCAUAACUUUAAAACAAAAUCUGACCACCACAAAGGAUUUCAUGUUAGGUCAGUAGAAGUUAAUUAUUCCACUGAGCCACAAUUGUCUUAAGCACUUUUUUUUUUCAUUUAACAGAUGAUUUUUAAGCAUAGAUCAUAUAAAUAGAUUUAUAUUGUUCCCUGCUGGGAAUGAUAAGAUAUACAAGACCUGGGCCUUGGCCUUAAAAGCUAACAGUAUGGUAAUCCUAAUGGCUACUAAUCACUGAGCAGGACUCUUGUGCCAAGCACUUCAGCUACCCUCACAACGGCUGGAAGCUCCAUCUUUAUUAGCAGCAAACCGAGGCUGGAAGAAACUGGGUACCUGUUCCAGGUCCAAGAGCUGGCAGAUUACAAGAGCUGGACUUCAAAUCCAGGUCCGGGGCACCCCGAAACUCAGGCCGUUUCCCACGAUUCCAUCCUGCCUCUCGGUUUACAGGGGAGGCUGCUCAGUCAGGGUCUUAUCAGGAGACAGAAACCACGGCCCUUAUUUGAAGCUGUUCACUAGGUAACCGAAAGGGCAAAACGAGAACUCUUAAGGUAUCAUGGAGGGAGCAACAGCAGGAAGCAGCUACAAUGCCAGGGCUGAGGAAACAAAUGCAAGAGGUUGCAAUUAAUAGAAUUUAGAAAUUGAGAGGACAGGCCCCGUGGAACUGAAACUUGGCCCUCUGAAGACUGGAUAUGCUUGCUGGUGCUGGUGUCUCUGAGGUCAAAGGAGUCUGGGGCCCAGACUCUGAGAAGCAAGGUGGUAGUGUCUUGGAGGUUGAUGCCAAAAAGUGGGUUCUAAGUGUUUGGCAAACUGCAAACUGGAUUCAGCUACUGUUAUGGGAAGGAACUGCCACUACUGGAGUGAGGAAGCAUUGCUGGGGUGACAUUCCCAGGACUAGGAAGCACACAGGAAGAGCAGUCUGUUCUUCCUCCCUUGGCCUCACAGCCUCUUCACCCUCCUGUCAGCAGAGCCUUACGUGGAGCCAGCUGGCUGAGCAGAAAAAUAGUUUGCAGGGUCCCAACUAUAGCAUCACAAAACAGAGUAGAGAAGGGCGGGCUUCAAAUUGAAAGAUAAUAACUGGCCCAGGAGGAAAGAUACGGAUAUAAGAAGACAUCAUCGUAGGUACUGUAUGAUCAUGUCUCUGAUGACCCUACGUAUUGUAAAUGCUUUAAGAUCGAGAAGCCAGUUAAUGGUUACGUAUAAGGAUCUUGCUACUAGGCAUGGAUAACCUUGGGGGCAGGAGCCAUGUCCUCUUCAUGCCUCCAUCCCCAACACCUUCCUGGCAAUCAAAGAUACCCAGCAAGGGCUGGUUAAACAAAGAAACAACCCUACUGUGAUAAGCUGUUAUAAGACUAUAUGUAUUUUGCUGCUGGAGUUUCGAGGGCCAGUUCUGAACCCUGGAGGCUGUUCUUAGCCUGACCAAGCCUCAGAAUUGUGGAGGAUAAGAGGGAUUGGUUACUCUCAGUGAGAGCAGAUUAUAGUGGUCCUUGCUAAGGAAUGACAGAGUUAGGGUCUGCCCUGCCCUAGGGAGAGCUGGUGAGGCUCUUCCAGUGUGGCCACGAGGAAGGAGUAGUCAUGCUAAGGAUAGCUUCUCUCAGUGGUGUGUUUCUACUCCAUGAUGUGUGGCCCUGCCUACAACACCAGAACCAUCUUUUUCUCUCUGGUUCCUGUCCCUCCCUCGUGUCUUGCUAUUCUUAGCCCUUGGAACAUGUGUGUUUGCCUGAAGUCAUGGACACGCACUUCCGUAAUCACAGCACAGGCUUAGAGAUCUGGAAUGGAGCUGGAGUUGAGAAUCUGGGCCCUGAAGUUCCUUCUUUAAUAACCACCUUGGAUGAUGCAUGAAUUCCUGAGAGCCCAGCACAUCAUCUCUGUGUCAGAGAGCUGGAAGGUGACUCUGAGGUCCCCUGAUUCAAUGCCCUCAUUUUACAGACUCAGAGGUGGAGACUAACCGUCUGUCUUAAACUCUACAGCUGGUAGAGUCCAGAGUUUUUGCACACUGCCCCAAGGCUCCCUGCUCCACUUUCCAGCACGUUUCUCAAUUGAAUACAAACAGUUGAGUAGAACUUAGUUGAUGCAAGGCACAGAGCUUUUGUACAUUGGAUACAGGGUCCUGAGUUGAGUUAAAUUAAAUGUUUUCUUUUGGAAAAUAUUUAAGCAUUCUGGAUUAGUUCCAUCUUAAAGAUUUUAUUUACUAUAACAUAACACAACAUGAUAUAGUAUAGUAUAGUAGAAUAUUUUGUUCUAAAUAUAAUCGUUAAAUAGUGC